Long non-coding RNA from Esox lucius (northern pike), 619 nucleotides. NCBI's taxonomy places the organism in Eukaryota, Metazoa, Chordata, Actinopteri, Esociformes, Esocidae. The record is from Ensembl.
UUCCAGCACACAUGUGGUUAAAUCCCAGGUCUUUUGACAGCUGGCCAGUGGAGCGCAUGCGCCGAAAACGUUAGUGACUUGAAUAGGAGGGAACAUAGCAACCACCAAAUAACCUCGAGAGCGCUGCACAUCAUCUACCCAAAAAAUUAUGUCCAUCUCACCGUCUUCACUUUUUCGAAGGUCUCCGUUUUAUGGACCUUGAAUGGCGCUGGUCACCGUUCAGCGUUCGCCAACACCCAGCACUACCUCCAGCCCCUGCGUGUCGGUUAUGUAGGUGAAAGGAGCAGACAGCGCCAGUCUCAAGGGUUGCCAGCUGAUUGUCACGUGACCCAUGCGAGACACCCAUGUGAGUGCUCUUGUGAAAAGCCUGAAGCUUUCUACAGUGUGAGACUCCUCAGCCCCAUUCUACUGGCAGGCACAUCAAGACUCCAACCAGGAAACAGGCAGCGGCGAGGAGGACCGACACUCCCAGCCCCGGAGAACAAUCUGACGUCAAGUGAACGGACGUUUUCUUUAACCUGCAGCAAAAGUUUAUUUUUUAGACACUUUUGGUCUAGCCUUUUUCAGUGAUGUUUUGUCCUAUAAAUCAGGAAUUCCUGACAUAAUUAUACAUUGUUUA